Non-coding RNA from Paramuricea clavata, 236 nucleotides. NCBI's taxonomy places the organism in Eukaryota, Metazoa, Cnidaria, Anthozoa, Malacalcyonacea, Plexauridae. The record is from the annotation of a GenBank genome assembly.
GUUUUAUUUUCCCAGCAUCCUUUUUAAUGAGGUACAAUUAACACAAUCAGACUAGUUUUAAUACAAAGACCGUCCUAGCUGUUCGUGUUGGACUUCAGACUGUGAGAAAUUGUAAGGGAAACUGAGUUUUCCUUAAAACUGUCACAAAAGCAAUGGUGUCCUAUGCCAGUAAAAAUGAACAAAAGAUGAUUAGCACUGCAAAAGGAUAACACCUCAUGCUGACAAAAUAAUUUAAU